This 48-nucleotide non-coding RNA is filed under the name Schistosoma mansoni. Lineage: Eukaryota; Metazoa; Platyhelminthes; Trematoda; Strigeidida; Schistosomatidae. The record is from RNAcentral.
AUCCAGUUGACAAGUCCCAAAUAGGACGAAAUGCUCGUCAAACUGGAU